This 476-nucleotide ribosomal RNA is filed under the name uncultured bacterium. Its description in RNAcentral is "bacterial SSU rRNA". It matches the Rfam family "Bacterial small subunit ribosomal RNA", at positions 8 to 526 of the family's 1533-position model. The record is from RNAcentral.
AGAGUUUGAUCAUGGCUCAGGAUGAACGCUGGCGGUCUGCUUAACACAUGCAAGUCGAACGGGUGUAGCAAUACAUUAGUGGCGGACGGGUGAGUAACGCGUGAGAAUCUGCCAACAGGACUGGGACAACAGAGGGAAACCCCUGCUAACCCCGGAUGAACCGAGAGGGAAAAUAUUUAUAGCCUGUUGAUGAGCUCGCGUCUGAUUAGCUAGUUGGUGGGGUAAAAGCCUACCAAGGCAUCGAUCAGUAGCUGGUCUGAGAGGACGAUCAGCCACACUGGGACUGAGACACGGCCCAGACUCCUACGGGAGGCAGCAGUGGGGAAUUUUCCGCAAUGGGCGAAAGCCUGACGGAGCAAGACCGCGUGAGGGAGGAAGGCUCUUGGGUUGUAAACCUCUUUUCUCUGGGAAGAACAAAAUGACGGUACCAGAGGAAUCAGCAUCGGCUAACUCCGUGCCAGCAGCCGCGGUAAUAC